This 653-nucleotide ribosomal RNA is filed under the name Ligilactobacillus salivarius. RNAcentral describes it as "bacterial SSU rRNA". It matches the Rfam family "Bacterial small subunit ribosomal RNA", at positions 370 to 1014 of the family's 1533-position model. Lineage: Bacteria; Bacillati; Bacillota; Bacilli; Lactobacillales; Lactobacillaceae. The record is from RNAcentral.
AAUGGACGCAAGUCUGAUGGAGCAACGCCGCGUGAGUGAAGAAGGUCUUCGGAUCGUAAAACUCUGUUGUUAGAGAAGAACACGAGUGAGAGUAACUGUUCAUUCGAUGACGGUAUCUAACCAGCAAGUCACGGCUAACUACGUGCCAGCAGCCGCGGUAAUACGUAGGUGGCAAGCGUUGUCCGGAUUUAUUGGGCGUAAAGGGAACGCAGGCGGUCUUUUAAGUCUGAUGUGAAAGCCUUCGGCUUAACCGGAGUAGUGCAUUGGAAACUGGAAGACUUGAGUGCAGAAGAGGAGAGUGGAACUCCAUGUGUAGCGGUGAAAUGCGUAGAUAUAUGGAAGAACACCAGUGGCGAAAGCGGCUCUCUGGUCUGUAACUGACGCUGAGGUUCGAAAACGUGGGUAGCAAACAGGAUUAGAUACCCUGGUAGUCCACGCCGUAAACGAUGAAUGCUAGGUGUUGGAGGGUUUCCGCCCUUCAGUGCCGCAGCUAACGCAAUAAGCAUUCCGCCUGGGGAGUACGACCGCAAGGUUGAAACUCAAAGGAAUAGACGGGGGCCCGCACAAGCGGUGGAGCAUGUGGUGUAAUUCGAAGCAACGCGAAGAACCUUACCAGGUCUUGACAUGCCUUGACCACCUACGAGAUGAGGCUU